RNAcentral lists this transfer RNA (65 nucleotides) under Membranipora grandicella. Its description in RNAcentral is "tRNA-Lys". Lineage: Eukaryota; Metazoa; Bryozoa; Gymnolaemata; Cheilostomatida; Membraniporidae. The record is from RNAcentral.
AGAAAUAUAAGUUAUAUUAGACUUUUAGACUUUUAAUCUGAACGAACCUCAAAGGGUUAUUUUUA